ACUCAAAGGAAUUGACGGGGGCCCGCACAAGCGGCGGAGCAUGUGGCUUAAUUCGAUGCAACGCGAAGAACCUUACCUGGGUUGAACUACGCAGGAAAAGCCGCAGAGAUGCGGUGUCCGUAAGGGCCUGCGAUAGGUGGUGCAUGGCUGUCGUCAGCUCGUGUCGUGAGAUGUUGGGUUAAGUCCCGCAACGAGCGCAACCCUUGUCCUAUGUUGCCAGCGGGUAAUGCCGGGGACUCGUAGGAGACUGCCGGGGUCAACUCGGAGGAAGGUGGGGAUGACGUCAAGUCAUCAUGCCCCUUAUGUCCAGGGCUGCACACAUGCUACAAUGGCCGGUACAAAGGGCUGCUAUCCCGCGAGGGUGAGCGAAUCCCAUAAAGCCGGUCUCAGUUCGGAUCGGAGUCGCUAGUAAUCCCGGAUCAGCAACGCCGGGGUGAAUACGUUCCCGGGCCUUGUACACACCGCCCGU
Molecule: ribosomal RNA, 469 nt
Filed under: uncultured bacterium
Lineage: Bacteria
Description: partial 16S ribosomal RNA
Rfam family: Bacterial small subunit ribosomal RNA
Source: RNAcentral